RNAcentral lists this ribosomal RNA (478 nucleotides) under uncultured bacterium. Its description in RNAcentral is "partial 16S ribosomal RNA". It matches the Rfam family "Bacterial small subunit ribosomal RNA", at positions 28 to 523 of the family's 1533-position model. The record is from RNAcentral.
GACGAACGCUGGCGGCGUGCUUAACACAUGCAAGUCGAACGGUAAGGCCCUACGGGGUACACGAGUGGCGAACGGGUGAGUAACACGUGGGUGAUCUGCCCUGCACUUCGGGAUAAGCCUGGGAAACUGGGUCUAAUACCGGAUAGGACCACUGCCUGCAUGGGUGGUGGUGGAAAGCUUUUGCGGUGUGGGAUGGGCCCGCGGCCUAUCAGCUUGUUGGUGGGGUGAUGGCCUACCAAGGCGACGACGGGUAGCCGGCCUGAGAGGGUGUCCGGGGACGCGGGGACUGAGAUACGGCCCAGACUCCUACGGGAGGCAGCAGAGGGGAAUAUUGAACAAUGGGCGCAAGCCUGAUGCAGCGACGCCGCGUGAGGGAUGACGGCCUUCGGGUUGUAAACCUCUUUCAGCACCGACGAAGCGCAAGUGACGGUAGGUGCAGAAGAAGGACCGGCCAACUACGUGCCAGCAGCCGCCGUAA